Molecule: ribosomal RNA, 254 nt
Filed under: uncultured bacterium
Lineage: Bacteria
Description: partial 16S ribosomal RNA
Rfam family: Bacterial small subunit ribosomal RNA
Source: RNAcentral
UACGGGGGGAGCAAGCGUUGUUCGGAUUUACUGGGCGUAAAGGGCGCGUAGGCGGUCAGCACAAGUCAGUUGUGAAAUCUCCGGGCUUAACCCGGAAAGGUCAACUGAUACUGUGCGACUAGAGUGCGGAAGGGGCAACUGGAAUUCUCGGUGUAGCGGUGAAAUGCGUAGAUAUCGAGAGGAACACCGAUGGCGAAGGCAGGUCUCUGGGCUGACACUGACGCUCAUGCACGAAAGCGCGGGGAGCAAACAGG